Molecule: unclassified non-coding RNA, 273 nt
Filed under: uncultured bacterium
Lineage: Bacteria
Description: contains 16S-23S intergenic spacer region
Source: RNAcentral
ACCCUAUGUUUUUAUCAAACCACUCAUAAUUCUUAUCCUGCCCAAAAGACUUCACUAAGUCUCUCCACUAUAAGGAGUCUCUCCCCACCCGUUUCCAAUUAUAGGAACCAUAUUUUGACACCAAGACAUUUUUCCACAACACCCCCCGGCACCCGCUAGGGGUCAACAAGCCUCUAUCUGUAUUUCCUUAAUAGGACUGCAUUGAAUAAAAAUAUGUUUUUAAUGCCUAAUCUUUCCUCCAUUUUAGGUUGACACACCUAACUUUAUCUCACC